GGUUAAGCGACUAAGCGUACACGGUGGAUGCCCUGGCAGUCAGAGGCGAUGAAGGACGUGCUAAUCUGCGAAAAGCGUCGGUAAGGUGAUAUGAACCGUUAUAACCGGCGAUGUCCGAAUGGGGAAACCCAGUGUGUUUCGACACACUAUCAUUAACUGAAUCCAUAGGUUAAUGAGGCGAACCGGGGGAACUGAAACAUCUAAGUACCCCGAGGAAAAGAAAUCAACCGAGAUUCCCCCAGUAGCGGCGAGCGAACGGGGAGGAGCCCAGAGCCUGAAUCAGUGUGUGUGUUAGUGGAAGCGUCUGGAAAGGCGUGCGAUACAGGGUGACAGCCCCGUACACAAAAAUGCACAUGCUGUGAGCUCGAUGAGUAGGGCGGGACACGUGGUAUCCUGUCUGAAUAUGGGGGGACCAUCCUCCAAGGCUAAAUACUCCUGACUGACCGAUAGUGAACCAGUACCGUGAGGGAAAGGCGAAAAGAACCCCGGCGAGGGGAGUGAAAAAGAACCUGAAACCGUGUACGUACAAGCAGUGGGAGCCUCUUUAUGGGGUGACUGCGUACCUUUUGUAUAAUGGGUCAGCGACUUAUAUUCUGUAGCAAGGUUAACCGAAUAGGGGAGCCGGAGGGAAACCGAGUCUUAACUGGGCGUUAAGUUGCAGGGUAUAGACCCGAAACCCGGUGAUCUAGCCAUGGGCAGGUUGAAGGUUGGGUAACACUAACUGGAGGACCGAACCGACUAAUGUUGAAAAAUUAGCGGAUGACUUGUGGCUGGGGGUGAAAGGCCAAUCAAACCGGGAGAUAGCGGUUCUCCCCGAAAGCUAUUUAGGUAGCGCCUCGUGAAUUCAUCUCCGGGGGUAGAGCACUGUUUCGGCAAGGGGGUCAUCCCGACUUACCAACCCGAUGCAAACUGCGAAUACCGGAGAAUGUUAUCACGGGAGACACACGGCGGGUGCUAACGUCCGUCGUGAAGAGGGAAACAACCCAGACCGCCAGCUAAGGUCCCAAAGUCAUGGUUAAGUGGGAAACGAUGUGGGAAGGCCCAGACAGCCAGGAUGUUGGCUUAGAAGCAGCCAUCAUUUAAAGAAAGCGUAAUAGCUCACUGGUCGAGUCGGCCUGCGCGGAAGAUGUAACGGGGCUAAACCAUGCACCGAAGCUGCGGCAGCGACGCUGAUGCGUUGUUGGGUAGGGGAGCGUUCUGUAAGCCUGUGAAGGUGUGCUGUGAGGCAUGCUGGAGGUAUCAGAAGUGCGAAUGCUGACAUAAGUAACGAUAAAGCGGGUGAAAAGCCCGCUCGCCGGAAGACCAAGGGUUCCUGUCCAACGUUAAUCGGGGCAGGGUGAGUCGACCCCUAAGGCGAGGCCGAAAGGCGUAGUCGAUGGGAAACAGGUUAAUAUUCCUGUACUUGGUGUUACUGCGAAGGGGGGACGGAGAAGGCUAUGUUGGCCGGGCGACGGUUGUCCCGGUUUAAGCGUGUAGGCUGGUUUUCCAGGCAAAUCCGGAGAAUCAAGGCUGAGGCGUGAUGACGAGGCACUACGGUGCUGAAGCAACAAAUGCCCUGCUUCCAGGAAAAGCCUCUAAGCAUCAGGUAACAUCAAAUCGUACCCCAAACCGACACAGGUGGUCAGGUAGAGAAUACCAAGGCGCUUGAGAGAACUCGGGUGAAGGAACUAGGCAAAAUGGUGCCGUAACUUCGGGAGAAGGCACGCUGAUAUGUAGGUGAAGCGACUUGCUCGUGGAGCUGAAAUCAGUCGAAGAUACCAGCUGGCUGCAACUGUUUAUUAAAAACACAGCACUGUGCAAACACGAAAGUGGACGUAUACGGUGUGACGCCUGCCCGGUGCCGGAAGGUUAAUUGAUGGGGUCAGCGCAAGCGAAGCUCUUGAUCGAAGCCCCGGUAAACGGCGGCCGUAACUAUAACGGUCCUAAGGUAGCGAAAUUCCUUGUCGGGUAAGUUCCGACCUGCACGAAUGGCGUAAUGAUGGCCAGGCUGUCUCCACCCGAGACUCAGUGAAAUUGAACUCGCUGUGAAGAUGCAGUGUACCCGCGGCAAGACGGAAAGACCCCGUGAACCUUUACUAUAGCUUGACACUGAACACUGGUCCUUGAUGUGUAGGAUAGGUGGGAGGCUUUGAAGUGUGGACGCCAGUCUGCAUGGAGCCGUCCUUGAAAUACCACCCUUUAAUGGCUGGUGUUCUAACGUAGGCCCCUUAUCGGGGUUGCGGACAGUGUCUGGUGGGUAGUUUGACUGGGGCGGUCUCCUCCUAAAGAGUAACGGAGGAGCACGAAGGUUGGCUAAUCCUGGUCGGACAUCAGGAGGUUAGUGCAAUGGCAUAAGCCAGCUUGACUGCGAGCGUGACGGCGCGAGCAGGUGCGAAAGCAGGUCAUAGUGAUCCGGUGGUUCUGAAUGGAAGGGCCAUCGCUCAACGGAUAAAAGGUACUCCGGGGAUAACAGGCUGAUACCGCCCAAGAGUUCAUAUCGACGGCGGUGUUUGGCACCUCGAUGUCGGCUCAUCACAUCCUGGGGCUGAAGUAGGUCCCAAGGGUAUGGCUGUUCGCCAUUUAAAGUGGUACGCGAGCUGGGUUUAGAACGUCGUGAGACAGUUCGGUCCCUAUCUGCCGUGGGCGCUGGAGAACUGAGGGGGGCUGCUCCUAGUACGAGAGGACCGGAGUGGACGCAUCACUGGUGUUCGGGUUGUCAUGCCAAUGGCACUGCCCGGUAGCUAAAUGCGGAAGAGAUAAGUGCUGAAAGCAUCUAAGCACGAAACUUGCCCCGAGAUGAGUUCUCCCUGACCCUUUAAGGGUCCUGAAGGAACGUUGAAGACGACGACGUUGAUAGGCCGGGUGUGUAAGCGCAGCGAUGCGUUGAGCUAACCGGUACUAAUGAACCGUGAGGCUUAACCUU
This 2902-nucleotide ribosomal RNA is filed under the name Escherichia albertii. Its description in RNAcentral is "23S ribosomal RNA". It matches the Rfam family "Bacterial large subunit ribosomal RNA". The record is from RNAcentral. Lineage: Bacteria; Pseudomonadati; Pseudomonadota; Gammaproteobacteria; Enterobacterales; Enterobacteriaceae.